GAAUUCGCCCUUAGAGUUUGAUCCUGGCUCAGGACGAACGCUGGCGGCGUGCUUAACACAUGCAAGUCGAACGAGAAUCUGUGGAUAGAGGAUUCGUCCAAUUGAAGCAGAGGAAAGUGGCGGACGGGUGAGUAACGCGUGAGGAACCUGCCUUGGAGAGGGGGACAACAGCUGGAAACGGCUGCUAAUACCGCAUGAUGCAUAGAGAGGACAUCCUUUCUAUGCCAAAGAUUUAUCGCUCUGAGAUAGGCCUCGCGUCUGAUUAGGUAGUUGGUGAGGUAACGGCCCACCAAGCCGACGAUCAGUAGCCAGACUGAGAGGUUGAACGGCCACAUUGGGACUGAGAUACGGCCCAGACUCCUACGGGAGGCAGCAGUGGGGAAUAUUGGGCAAUGGGCGCAAGCCUGACCCAGCAACGCCGCGUGAAGGAAGAAGGCUUUCGGGUUGUAAACUUCUUUUAAGGGGGAAGAGGAGAAGACGGUACCCCUAGAAUAAGCCACGGCUAACUACGUGCCAGCAGCCGCGGUAAUACGUAGGUGGCAAGCGUUGUCCGGAUUUACUGGGUGUAAAGGGCGUGUAGCCGGGGGAGCAAGUCAGAUGUGAAAUCUAUGGGCUUAACCCAUAAACUGCAUUUGAAACUGUUCUUCUUGAGUGCUGGAGGGGCAAUCGGAAUUCCUUGUGUAGCGGUGAAAUGCGUAGAUAUAAGGAGGAACACCAGUGGCGAAGGCGGAUUGCUGGACAGUAACUGACGGUGAGGCGCGAAAGUGUGGGGAGCAAACAGGAUUAGAUACCCUGGUAGUCCACACUGUAAACG
This 814-nucleotide ribosomal RNA is filed under the name uncultured bacterium. Its description in RNAcentral is "bacterial SSU rRNA". It matches the Rfam family "Bacterial small subunit ribosomal RNA", at positions 1 to 808 of the family's 1533-position model. The record is from RNAcentral.